This 206-nucleotide unclassified non-coding RNA is filed under the name fungal sp. Its description in RNAcentral is "partial internal transcribed spacer region". The stretch from base 1 to 46 matches the Rfam family "Eukaryotic small subunit ribosomal RNA", at positions 1786 to 1831 of the family's 1831-position model. Lineage: Eukaryota; Fungi. The record is from RNAcentral.
AAGUCGUAACAAGGUAACCGUAGGUGAACCUGCGGUUGGAUCAUUAACAAAUAUAAAAAGGUCUUUAAGAUCUUUCCAACACUUGUGAAUUGUAAUUGUCUCUGGCGGGUUUUACCCGCAGACUUAAACUAUAUAUAUUAAAUUUAUUGUCUAAAAGCCUAAAUCUAAAUUAAAAACAACUUUUAACAACGGAUCUCUAGGCUCUC